Molecule: ribosomal RNA, 301 nt
Filed under: uncultured bacterium
Lineage: Bacteria
Description: partial 16S ribosomal RNA
Rfam family: Bacterial small subunit ribosomal RNA
Source: RNAcentral
CAGUCGCCGCGGUAAUACGUGGGUGGCAAGCGUUGUCCGGAAUUAUUGGGCGUAAAGGGCUCGCAGGCGGUUUCUUAAGUCUGAUGUGAAAGCCCCCGGCUCAACCGGGGAGGGUCAUUGGAAACUGGGAAACUUGAGUGCAGAAGAGGAGAGUGGAAUUCCACGUGUAGCGGUGAAAUGCGUAGAGAUGUGGAGGAACACCAGUGGCGAAGGCGACUCUCUGGUCUGUAACUGACGCUGAGGAGCGAAAGCGUGGGGAGCGAACAGGAUUAGAUACCCCUGUAGUCCCUGUCUCUUAUAA